This 465-nucleotide ribosomal RNA is filed under the name Vreelandella stevensii. Its description in RNAcentral is "partial 16S ribosomal RNA". It matches the Rfam family "Bacterial small subunit ribosomal RNA", at positions 338 to 795 of the family's 1533-position model. The record is from RNAcentral. Lineage: Bacteria; Pseudomonadati; Pseudomonadota; Gammaproteobacteria; Oceanospirillales; Halomonadaceae.
CCUACGGGGGGCUGCAGUGGGGAAUAUUGGACAAUGGGGGCAACCCUGAUCCAGCCAUGCCGCGUGUGUGAAGAAGGCCCUCGGGUUGUAAAGCACUUUCAGUGAGGAAGAACGCCUGGUGGUUAAUACCCAUCAGGAAAGACAUCACUCACAGAAGAAGCACCGGCUAACUCCGUGACAGCAGCCGCGGUAAUACGGAGGGUGCGAGCGUUAAUCGGAAUUACUGGGCGUAAAGCGCGCGUAGGUGGCUUGAUAAGCCGGUUGUGAAAGCCCCGGGCUCAACCUGGGAACGGCAUCCGGAACUGUCAAGCUAGAGUGCAGGAGAGGAAGGUAGAAUUCCCAGUGUAGCGGUGAAAUGCGUAGAGAUCGGGAGGAAUACCAGUGGCGAAGGCGGCCUUCUGGACUGACACUGACACUGAGGUGCGAAAGCGUGGGUAGCAAACAGGAUUAGAUACCCCGGUAGUC